This 301-nucleotide ribosomal RNA is filed under the name uncultured bacterium. RNAcentral's name for it is "partial 16S ribosomal RNA". It matches the Rfam family "Bacterial small subunit ribosomal RNA", at positions 509 to 809 of the family's 1533-position model. The record is from RNAcentral.
CAGUAGCCGCGGGAAUACGUAGGGGGCAAGCGUUAUCCGGAAUUACUGGGUGUAAAGGGAGCGUAGACGGUUAAACAAGUCUGAAGUGAAAUGCCGGGGCUCAACCCCGGAGCUGCUUUGGGAACUGUAGAACUGGAGUGUCGGAGGGGUAAGCGGAAUUCCAUGUGUAGCGGUGAAAUGCGUAGAUAUAUGGAGGAACACCAGUGGCGAAGGCGACUCUCUGGUCCAUUCCUGACGUUCAUACACGAAAGCGUGGGGAGCAAACAGGAUUAGAGACCCGGGUAGUCCCUGUCUCUUAUAA